ACUGCUCACUCAAAGGGCCUUGGGAACAUGCUUCCAAUGUCGCCUGGGGAUGGGGCCGCGUCCGAUCAGGUUGUUGGUGAGGUAAUGGCUCACCAAGCCUAUAACCGGUACGGGCCGUGAGAGCGGUAGCCUGGAGAUGGGUACUGAGACAAGGACCCAGGCCCUACGGGGCGCAGCAGUCGCGAAAACUCCGCAAUGCACGAAAGGGUGACGGGGCUACCCCGAGUGCCAUCCGCUGAGGGUGGCUUUUCUGUGGUGUAACCAGCCAUGGGGAAUAAGGAGAGGGCAAGACUGGUGUCAGCCGCCGCGGUAAUACCAGCUCUCCGAGUGGUAGGGAUGAUUAUUGGGCUUAAAGCGUCCGUAGCCUGCUUAGCAAGUCUCCUGUUAAAUUCAGCGACCUAAUCGUUGAGCCGCGGGAGAUACUACUAAACUAGGAGGCGGGAGAGGUCGACGGUACUUCUGGGGUAGGGGUGAAAUCCUAUAAUCCCGGGAGGACCACCAGUGGCGAAGGCUGUCGACUAGAACGCGCUCGACGGUGAGGGACGAAAGCUGGGGGAGCGAACCGGAUUAGAUACCCGGGUAGUCCCAGCCGUAAACGAUGCGGGCUAGGUGUUGGGGUGGCUACGUGCCACUUCAGUGCCGCAGGGAAGCCAUUAAGCCCGCCGCCUGGGGAGUAC
RNAcentral lists this ribosomal RNA (677 nucleotides) under uncultured archaeon. RNAcentral's name for it is "bacterial SSU rRNA". It matches the Rfam family "Archaeal small subunit ribosomal RNA", at positions 178 to 838 of the family's 1478-position model. The record is from RNAcentral.